GGGGAUUUAGCUCAGCGGCUUAAGUGCCUGCCUUGCAAGCAGGCAGUUGUGAGUUCAAUCCCUG
Molecule: transfer RNA, 64 nt
Organism: Cavia porcellus (domestic guinea pig)
Lineage: Eukaryota; Metazoa; Chordata; Mammalia; Rodentia; Caviidae
Rfam family: tRNA
About the family: Transfer RNA (tRNA) molecules are approximately 80 nucleotides in length. Their secondary structure includes four short double-helical elements and three loops (D, anti-codon, and T loops).
Source: Rfam